Molecule: transfer RNA, 72 nt
Filed under: bacterium
Lineage: Bacteria
Also listed under: 5 other names
Description: tRNA-Glu
Rfam family: tRNA
About the family: Transfer RNA (tRNA) molecules are approximately 80 nucleotides in length. Their secondary structure includes four short double-helical elements and three loops (D, anti-codon, and T loops). Further hydrogen bonds mediate the characteristic L-shaped molecular structure. tRNAs have two regions of fundamental functional importance: the anti-codon, which is responsible for specific mRNA codon recognition, and the 3' end, to which the tRNAs corresponding amino acid is attached (by aminoacyl-tRNA synthetases). tRNAs cope with the degeneracy of the genetic code in two manners: having more than one tRNA (with a specific anti-codon) for a particular amino acid; and 'wobble' base-pairing, i.e. permitting non-standard base-pairing at the 3rd anti-codon position.
Source: RNAcentral
GGCGCCAUCGUCUAUCGGUUAGGACGCCGGCCUUUCACGCCGGUAAGGCGGGUUCGAUUCCCGCUGGCGCUA